Molecule: small RNA, 148 nt
Filed under: Macaca mulatta (Rhesus monkey)
Lineage: Eukaryota; Metazoa; Chordata; Mammalia; Primates; Cercopithecidae
Description: Metazoan signal recognition particle RNA (ENSMMUG00000054450.1)
Source: Rfam by way of RNAcentral
GCCAGGCGUGGUGGUGUGCACCUGUAAUCCCAGCUACUCGGGAGGCUGAGGCGGGAGAGUUGCUUGAGCCUGGGAGGUCAAGGCUGCAGUGACCCAUGAUCACGCCACUGCACUCCAGCCUGGGCAAUGGAGCAAGAUCCUGUCUCAA